AACGAACGAAACGAAACGAAACGAAACGAAACGAACGAAACGAAACGAAACGAAAUGAAACGAACGAACGAACGAACGAACGAACGACGUUAACAGACGAUGAUAUUUCACGCACUAGCCAGCCGUUAAGUGCCACGAGUAGAUCGUACGCACGUACGUAUAGUGUAAUCCCGGGAACUUUGAGAUGACUCAACAGGCGGCGGACAAGAAGAGACGACGAUGACGACGACGACGACGACGACGACGACGACGACGAAGACUAGUAACAGUAACUGCAACGGCCAACGGCAACAGCGGUAGCAGCAGCAAAGAAGAGGAAGCUCUCAUAGUAGAAUAACGUGUAGUAGCAGUCAGUCAGUCAGUCAGUCAGUCAAUACGAUAGUGGCCUGCAAUACAUCACCAGACGACUUCAUUAGGCCUUACCGUCCAAAGAUAAAAGACGAAAACAUACGGGAAGAAACGUAUACGAGAAAUCGUAACACACUUGGAGAAUGACGAACCGGUCAUUCACGGAGCCCGCCGUCAUGCCGAUGGAAUGCGCGCAUCCAUGAUGGUCACGUUCGUCUAUUCGACCAAUCAGCCGCAAGGAAGCACCGGCUUCUGCGUCUGCCGGCCAACGCUCGCCACGUGAUUUCGCGCUUGGGACCACGUGACGCUCUUUUUCUCCCCACUACUCCGCCCACUGAACAUAUCACUCUCUCUCUCUCUCUCUCUCUCUCUCUCUCUCUCUUCUCUCUCUCUCUCUCUCUCUCUCUCUCUCUUACCGCCGCCGGCUGUAGCGACGGCGAUGGCGACGCGCGCUUCGCGACGCGACCGCGUGACGUCACGCACAGCUGACUGCGCUAGAAUACGCCGACGGUUUACCGCUUCUCUCUCUCUCUCCUUUUCCUAUUGCCGCUUCGCUCGCUCUUUCUCUCUCUCUCUCUAUCUCUAUCUAUCUCUUUCGCAUUGUUCAUGCGCUCCUGCUAUGUCCCACCAUACCCCACUCCCCUCGCAAAACGCGCAUCCCAUCGUCGUCGUUUUCAUACGGUUAACUCUCUCUCUCUCUCUCUCUCUCUCUCUCUCUCUCUCUCUCUCUCUCUCUCUCUCUCCUCUCUUCCUCUAUCUCUCUCUCUCUCUCUUCCAUUUUCUUUUCUUUAUCUUUUCUUUUUUUCUUUUACUCUCGUACGUAUCUUUCAGUUUAGCUUUCUAGUCUUUUAACAUUUUUUCGCAUUUACAAUUCAUAUUUGCAAAUCGAUUAUAUGAAAUUUCGUAUUAGUGGGUGUAACGGUACACACCGAGAGACGAUUAAACGAUAAACGAGAACGGUAAGCAAUCAAAUGACACGCCUUGGACUCGCAAAACACCUAAUUCGUAAUUUAGGUCAUAGUAAAAUGUGGAUACGAAAUAAUGCGGAUAUAUAUAUAUAUAUAUAUAUAUAUAUAUAUAUAUAUACAUAUAUAUAAUGCAUUCUCUCGUACAUCAGUAUCGUUUCUCUAGAGAUAACCUAACCGCACUGCCCACGCGUUUAACUACACAAUAAGGAUUCUUCGAUACUUUUAUUUACCAUUCUAUAAUGUGUCUCUUUUAAAACGUUCCUUAUAUAAACAAUUUUUUUCUUUUUCUUUCCUCCUAUUUUUUUUUUCUUUUUUCUUUUAAUUCCACGGAGUCGACG
This is a long non-coding RNA of Vespa velutina, 1654 nucleotides long. RefSeq lists it as uncharacterized. Lineage: Eukaryota; Metazoa; Arthropoda; Insecta; Hymenoptera; Vespidae. The transcript has 3 exons. The record is from RefSeq and is a predicted model, not a curated record.